Molecule: ribosomal RNA, 910 nt
Filed under: Russula albidogrisea
Lineage: Eukaryota; Fungi; Basidiomycota; Agaricomycetes; Russulales; Russulaceae
Description: partial large subunit ribosomal RNA
Rfam family: Eukaryotic large subunit ribosomal RNA
Source: RNAcentral
UACAUUCAAUAAGCGGAGGAAAAGAAACUAACAAGGAUUCCCCUAGUAACUGCGAGUGAAGUGGGAAAAGCUCAAAUUUAAAAUCUGGUGGCCUUUGGCCAUCCGAGUUGUAAUUUAGAGAAGCGUCUUCCGCGCUGGACCGUGCACAAGUCUCCUGGAAUGGAGCGUCAUAGAGGGUGAGAAUCCCGUCUUUGGCACGGACUCCCGGUGCUUUGCGAUGCGCUCUCGACGAGUCGAGUUGUUUGGGAAUGCAGCUCAAAAUGGGUGGUGAACUCCAUCUAAAGCUAAAUAUUGGCGAGAGACCGAUAGCGAACAAGUACCGUGAGGGAAAGAUGAAAAGCACUUUGGAAAGAGAGUGAAACAGUACGUGAAAUUGUUGAAAGGGAAACGCUUGAAGUCAGUCGCGUUGACCGAGACUCAGCCUUGUCUUGGCUUGGUGUGCUUCUCGGCUCGACGGGUCAGCAUCAAUUUUGAUCUUUAGAUAAUGGCAAGGGAAAGGUGGCACCUUUUUAGGUGUGUUAUAGUCCCGUGUCGGAUGCAAGGGUCAGGAUUGAGGAACUCAGCAUGCACCUUUGGGUGUCGGGGUCUUUGCCCACGUUAUGUGCUUAGGAUGCUGGCGUAAUGGCUUUAAACGACCCGUCUUGAAACACGGACCAAGGAGUCUAACAUGCACGCGAGUGUUCGGGUGGAAAACCCGUGCGCGUAAUGAAAGUAAAAGUUGGGACCUCUGUCGUGGAGGGCACCGACGCCCGGACCAGACCUUCUGUGACGGAUCUGCGGUAGAGCGUGUAUGUUGGGACCCGAAAGAUGGUGAACUAUGCCUGAAUAGGGUGAAGCCAGAGGAAACUCUGGUGGAGGCUCGUAGCGAUUCUGACGUGCAAAUCGAUCGUCAAAUUUGGGUAUAGGGGCG